UACGUAGGGUGCGAGCGUUAAUCGGAAUUACUGGGCGUAAAGCGUGCGCAGGCGGUUCGUUAAGUCAGAUGUGAAAGCCCCGGGCUCAACCUGGGAACUGCAUUUGAAACUGGCGGGCUUGAGUAUGGCAGAGGGGGGUGGAAUUCCGCGUGUAGCAGUGAAAUGCGUAGAGAUCUGGAGGAACACCGAUGGCGAAGGCAGCCUUCUGGGCCAACACUGACGCUCAUGCACGAAAGCGUGGGGAGCAAACAGG
RNAcentral lists this ribosomal RNA (253 nucleotides) under uncultured bacterium. Its description in RNAcentral is "partial 16S ribosomal RNA". It matches the Rfam family "Bacterial small subunit ribosomal RNA", at positions 524 to 776 of the family's 1533-position model. The record is from RNAcentral.